RNAcentral lists this long non-coding RNA (320 nucleotides) under Triticum aestivum (bread wheat). RNAcentral's name for it is "long non-coding RNA (TAES_LNC001565)". Lineage: Eukaryota; Viridiplantae; Streptophyta; Magnoliopsida; Poales; Poaceae. The record is from RNAcentral.
GAUGUGGAGGUAGUGGCUGCGCUUAUGGAAGUCAUGGAGACAUUUUAUUAUGAUGAUGACAUCAAGCAAAAUAAGGUGUUUAACAUUGACUUCACCAAGUUUAAAAAGAAAGAGGGUAUGUUUGGGAAGGUGGCUGCAUUGAAAGCAAUGGAGAAUAACAAUUUCGAUCCCGGUAAGCAUGUUCUCAAAGCAAAAAAACUUAUUAUGACAUUUAUGAAAUUAUGGGCUGAUUGCAUGUUUUUUCACUUGUCUCAAAUUGUAGCUGAUUGGUGGUCAACUUAUGGAUUACAAACUCCUACAUUGCAACACAUGGCCAUAAG